AGUGAACGCUGGCGGUAGGCCUGACACAUGCAAGUCGAACGGCAGCACAGUAAGAGCUUGCUCUUACGGGUGGCGAGUGGCGGACGGGUGAGGAAUACAUCGGAAUCUACUUUUUCGGGGGGGAUAACGUAGGGAAAGUUAAGCUAAUACCGCAUACGACCUACGGGUGAAAGCAGGGGAUAUUCGGACCUUGCGCGAUUGAAUGAGCCGAUGUCGGAUUAGCUAGUUGGCGGGGUCAAGGCCCACCAAGGCGCGGAACCGUAGCUGGUCUGGGGGGAUGGUCAGCCACCCUGGAACUGGGACACGCUCCAUACUCCUACGACAGGCAGCAGUCGGGAAUAUUGGACAAUGGGCGCAAGCCUUAUCCAGCCAUACCGCGUAGGUGAAGAAGGCCUUCGGGUUGUAAAGCCCUUUUGUUGGGAAAGAAAAUCAGCAGGUUAAGACCCCGCUGUUCUGACGGUACCCAAAGAAUAAGCACCGGCUAACUUCGUG
This 492-nucleotide ribosomal RNA is filed under the name uncultured bacterium. RNAcentral's name for it is "partial 16S ribosomal RNA". It matches the Rfam family "Bacterial small subunit ribosomal RNA", at positions 29 to 507 of the family's 1533-position model. The record is from RNAcentral.